Molecule: transfer RNA, 77 nt
Filed under: Solobacterium moorei
Lineage: Bacteria; Bacillati; Bacillota; Erysipelotrichia; Erysipelotrichales; Erysipelotrichaceae
Also listed under: 1 other name
Description: tRNA-Arg
Rfam family: tRNA
About the family: Transfer RNA (tRNA) molecules are approximately 80 nucleotides in length. Their secondary structure includes four short double-helical elements and three loops (D, anti-codon, and T loops).
Source: RNAcentral
GUCCUCGUAGCUCAGUUGGAUAGAGCAACUGCCUCCUAAGCAGUAGGUCGUGCGUUCAAAUCGCAUCGAGGACGCCA